Molecule: ribosomal RNA, 497 nt
Filed under: uncultured bacterium
Lineage: Bacteria
Description: partial 16S ribosomal RNA
Rfam family: Bacterial small subunit ribosomal RNA
Source: RNAcentral
GACGAACGCUGGCGGCGUGCCUAAUACAUGCAAGUAGAACGCUGAAGAGAGGAGCUUGCUCUUCUUGGAUGAGUUGCGAACGGGUGAGUAACGCGUAGGUAACCUGCCUUGUAGCGGGGGAUAACUAUUGGAAACGAUAGCUAAUACCGCAUAACAAUGGAUGACACAUGUCAUUUAUUUGAAAGGGGCAAUUGUUCCACUACAAGAUGGACCUGCGUUGUAUUAGCUAGUAGGUGAGGUAAUGGCUCACCUAGGCGACGAUACAUAGCCGACCUGAGAGGGUGAUCGGCCACACUGGGACUGAGACACGGCCCAGACUCCUACGGGAGGCAGCAGUAGGGAAUCUUCGGCAAUGGGGACAACCCUGACCGAGCAACGCCGCGUGAGUGAAGAAGGUUUUCGGAUCGUAAAGCUCUGUUGUAAGUCAAGAACGGGUGUGAGAGUGGAAAGUUCACACUGUGACGGUAGCUUACCAGAAAGGGACGGCUAACUACGUG